UUAUUUGAGAGUUUGAUCCUAGCUCAGGAUGAACGCUGGCGGCGUGGAUAAGGCAUGCAAGUCGAACGAAAUUAUUUUUGAAGAAGUUGAGAUUAUAUCAAAGUGACGGAUAAAAUAGUUUAGUGGCGAACGAGUUAGUAAUACCUUGGUACAUACCAUAGAGUUUGGCAUAGCUCAUCGAAAGGUGGGGUAAUACCAAAUGGUCACUGAGAGCGUAAGCUUGAAGUGUAAAGAAGCAAUUCGCUCUGUAAUUGGCCUAGGUCUGAUCAGCUAGUUGGUGAGGUAAUGGCUCACCAAGGCUACGACCAGUAGGGGAUCUGAGAGGCUGUUCCCCAACGACGCAACUGAGACACGGUGCGUACACCUACGGGUGGCAGCAGUCGAGAAUAUUCCACAAUGGGCGAAAGCCUGAUGGAGCGACGCCGCGUGCAGGAAGAAGGUUUUCGGAUCGUAAACUGCUUUUAACUGGGAAUAAGCCCGCAAGGGUUGAAGGUACCAGUUGAAUAAGGGGUUGCUAACUCUGUGCCAGCAGCAGCGGUAAUACAGAGACCCCGAGCGUUAUCCGGAUUUAUUGGGCGUAAAGGGCGCGUAGGAGGUAUGGCAAGUUUAAUGUUAAAUCUCAGGGCUUAACCUUGGGGCCGCGUUAAAUACUGCCAAACUAGAGGACGUUAGAGGCAGAUGGAACAUACGGUGUAGGGGUGAAAUCCGUUGAUAUCGUAUGGAACACCAAAGGCGAAGGCAUUCUGCUGGGACGUUCCUGACUCUGAGGCGCGAAAGCGUGGGGAGCAAAAAGGAUUAGAUACCCUUGUAGUCCACGCCCUAAACGAUGUCUACUAGCUGUUUCGAGUGUCGACCCUCGGAGUGGCGAAGCUAACGCGUUAAGUAGACCGCCUGGGAAGUACGGUCGCAAGACUAAAACUCAAAGGAAUAGACGGGGACUCGCACAAGCGGUGGAGUAUGAGGUUUAAUUCGACGGUACACGAGGAACCUUACCAGGGCUUGAAAUUCAGACGAAGAUUGUCCGAAAGGAUGGUCGUCUCUCAAGGACGUCUGGACAGGUGCUGCAUGGUUGUCGUCAGCUCGUGUUUUGAAAUUUCGGAACCUUCAAGAGUAAUCUUGAUGAAAAAUUCGGCUCAUAACGGUGGAACCCUAUAUUUUUUUAUGUUAAAAUAUAAGAAUUAUGGGCAAUACCGUGGGAAGUUUGGAAAUUCCAAUAAAACUUCAUGCAAGGAAAAAUUUAUUAUUAUUGGCAUGAAAUAUAAAAUUCCAAACCCCGUAACGACUUAGAUUCAAUAUUUAUUGAGUCUGGAUAAAAGUUUUUAAACUUUUAUAAAACGCCGACUCCCGCAAUGCGGGAUGAAGGUAUAGUCUAAUUUCUAAAGUAAUUUAGAAAAUUAAAAGGAAAUGUUCCCUUAAGUGGGGUAACGAGCGCAACCCUUAUCUCGAGUUAUAUGUGUCUCGAGAGACUGCCCAGUUUUCUGGGAGGAAGGUGAGGAUGACGUCAAAUCCGCAUGGCCCUUUGAUGCCCUGGGCCACACUCAUACUACAAUGGUCGGUACAAUGGGUUGCCAAAGCGCAAGCUGGAGCUAAUCCCAUCAAAGCCGGCCCCAGUUCGGAUUGAGGGCUGCAACUCGCCCUCAUGAAGCCGGAAUCGCUAGUAAUCGCGCAUCAGCCAUGGCGCGGUGAAUACGUUCUCGAGUCCUGUACUCACAAUAAAAGCGCGCAGCCGGGUUAUAAAACUAAGCCGUUUAAAUCGGCUCCUCC
This 1764-nucleotide ribosomal RNA is filed under the name bacterium. RNAcentral's name for it is "bacterial SSU rRNA". It matches the Rfam family "Bacterial small subunit ribosomal RNA". The record is from RNAcentral.